Molecule: ribosomal RNA, 459 nt
Filed under: uncultured Weissella sp.
Lineage: Bacteria; Bacillati; Bacillota; Bacilli; Lactobacillales; Lactobacillaceae
Description: partial 16S ribosomal RNA
Rfam family: Bacterial small subunit ribosomal RNA
Source: RNAcentral
ACGGAAGGCAGCAGUAGGGAAUCUUCCACAAUGGGCGAAAGCCUGAUGGAGCAACGCCGCGUGUGUGAUGAAGGGUUUCGGCUCGUAAAACACUGUUGUAAGAGAAGAAUGACAUUGAGAGUAACUGUUCAAUGCGUGACGUUAUUUUACCAGAAAGGAACGGCUAAAUACGUGCCAGCAGCCGCGGUAAGACGUAUGUUCCAAGCGUUAUCCGGAUUUAUUGGGCGUAAAGCGAGCGCAGACGGUUAUUUAAGUCUGAAGUGAAAGCCCUCAGCUCAACUGAGGAAUUGCUUUGGAAACUGGAUGACUUGAGUGCAGUAGAGGAAAGUGGAACUCCAUGUGUAGCGGUGAAAUGCGUAGAUAUAUGGAAGAACACCAGUGGCGAAGGCGGCUUUCUGGACUGUAACUGACGUUGAGGCUCGAAAGUGUGGUUAGCAAACAGGAUUAGAUACCCUGGUA